This 364-nucleotide long non-coding RNA is filed under the name Homo sapiens (human). Its description in RNAcentral is "novel transcript". The record is from RNAcentral. Lineage: Eukaryota; Metazoa; Chordata; Mammalia; Primates; Hominidae.
UUGUCCAGAGUCAAAGAUGCUCCACUGAGGCUGUUUCGCUUAGAAAUAUUUGGGAGCCUGCUGUGCUGGAACAGGGUCUCACUGGUGACUGCUACCACUUCAGGGCUGGGGUGCUGAGGGCCGCACAGCUGUACCCAGCAAAAACACUACUGAGAAUGAAGGCAGGGAACGUCAACGAACGUCAACGUGGCUGGAGUGCAGUGGCAUGAACAUGGCUCACUACAGCCUCAACCUCCUGAGCUCAAGCGAUCCUCCCACCCCAGCCUCCCAAGUAGCUGGGACUACAAGUGCAUGCCACCACGCCUGGCUACUUUUUGCAUUUUUUGUAGAGACAGGGUUUUACCGUGUUGCCCAGGCUUGUCUC